This 652-nucleotide ribosomal RNA is filed under the name uncultured Bacteroidota bacterium. RNAcentral describes it as "bacterial SSU rRNA". It matches the Rfam family "Bacterial small subunit ribosomal RNA", at positions 52 to 694 of the family's 1533-position model. Lineage: Bacteria; Pseudomonadati; Bacteroidota. The record is from RNAcentral.
CACAUGCAAGUCGAGGGGCAGCAUGAACUUAGCUUGCUAAGUUUGAUGGCGACCGGCGCACGGGUGAGUAACACGUAUCCAACCUGCCGAUGACUCGGGGAUAGCCUUUCGAAAGAAAGAUUAAUACCCGAUGGCAUAGUUCUUCCGCAUGGUGGAACUAUUAAAGAAUUUCGGUCAUCGAUGGGGAUGCGUUCCAUUAGGUUGUUGGCGGGGUAACGGCCCACCAAGCCUUCGAUGGAUAGGGGUUCUGAGAGGAAGGUCCCCCACAUUGGAACUGAGACACGGUCCAAACUCCUACGGGAGGCAGCAGUGAGGAAUAUUGGUCAAUGGACGAGAGUCUGAACCAGCCAAGUAGCGUGAAGGAUGACUGCCCUAUGGGUUGUAAACUUCUUUUAUACGGGAAUAAAGUGAGGCACGUGUGCCUUUUUGUAUGUACCGUAUGAAUAAGGAUCGGCUAACUCCGUGCCAGCCGCCGCGGUAAUACGGAGGAUCCGAGCGUUAUCCGGAUUUAUUGGGUUUAAAGGGAGCGUAGGCGGACGCUUAAGUCAGCUGUGAAAGUUUGCGGCUCAACCGUAAAAUUGCAGUUGAUACUGGGUGUCUUGAGUACAGUAGAGGCAGGCGGAAUUCGUGGUGUAGCGGUGAAAUGCUUAGA